This 2903-nucleotide ribosomal RNA is filed under the name Escherichia coli. RNAcentral describes it as "23S ribosomal RNA". It matches the Rfam family "Bacterial large subunit ribosomal RNA". Lineage: Bacteria; Pseudomonadati; Pseudomonadota; Gammaproteobacteria; Enterobacterales; Enterobacteriaceae. The record is from RNAcentral.
GGUUAAGCGACUAAGCGUACACGGUGGAUGCCCUGGCAGUCAGAGGCGAUGAAGGACGUGCUAAUCUGCGAUAAGCGUCGGUAAGGUGAUAUGAACCGUUAUAACCGGCGAUUUCCGAAUGGGGAAACCCAGUGUGUUUCGACACACUAUCAUUAACUGAAUCCAUAGGUUAAUGAGGCGAACCGGGGGAACUGAAACAUCUAAGUACCCCGAGGAAAAGAAAUCAACCGAGAUUCCCCCAGUAGCGGCGAGCGAACGGGGAGCAGCCCAGAGCCUGAAUCAGUGUGUGUGUUAGUGGAAGCGUCUGGAAAGGCGCGCGAUACAGGGUGACAGCCCCGUACACAAAAAUGCACAUGCUGUGAGCUCGAUGAGUAGGGCGGGACACGUGGUAUCCUGUCUGAAUAUGGGGGGACCAUCCUCCAAGGCUAAAUACUCCUGACUGACCGAUAGUGAACCAGUACCGUGAGGGAAAGGCGAAAAGAACCCCGGCGAGGGGAGUGAAAAAGAACCUGAAACCGUGUACGUACAAGCAGUGGGAGCACGCUUAGGCGUGUGACUGCGUACCUUUUGUAUAAUGGGUCAGCGACUUAUAUUCUGUAGCAAGGUUAACCGAAUAGGGGAGCCGAAGGGAAACCGAGUCUUAACUGGGCGUUAAGUUGCAGGGUAUAGACCCGAAACCCGGUGAUCUAGCCAUGGGCAGGUUGAAGGUUGGGUAACACUAACUGGAGGACCGAACCGACUAAUGUUGAAAAAUUAGCGGAUGACUUGUGGCUGGGGGUGAAAGGCCAAUCAAACCGGGAGAUAGCUGGUUCUCCCCGAAAGCUAUUUAGGUAGCGCCUCGUGAAUUCAUCUCCGGGGGUAGAGCACUGUUUCGGCAAGGGGGUCAUCCCGACUUACCAACCCGAUGCAAACUGCGAAUACCGGAGAAUGUUAUCACGGGAGACACACGGCGGGUGCUAACGUCCGUCGUGAAGAGGGAAACAACCCAGACCGCCAGCUAAGGUCCCAAAGUCAUGGUUAAGUGGGAAACGAUGUGGGAAGGCCCAGACAGCCAGGAUGUUGGCUUAGAAGCAGCCAUCAUUUAAAGAAAGCGUAAUAGCUCACUGGUCGAGUCGGCCUGCGCGGAAGAUGUAACGGGGCUAAACCAUGCACCGAAGCUGCGGCAGCGACACUGUGUGUUGUUGGGUAGGGGAGCGUUCUGUAAGCCUGUGAAGGUGUACUGUGAGGUAUGCUGGAGGUAUCAGAAGUGCGAAUGCUGACAUAAGUAACGAUAAAGCGGGUGAAAAGCCCGCUCGCCGGAAGACCAAGGGUUCCUGUCCAACGUUAAUCGGGGCAGGGUGAGUCGACCCCUAAGGCGAGGCCGAAAGGCGUAGUCGAUGGGAAACAGGUUAAUAUUCCUGUACUUGGUGUUACUGCGAAGGGGGGACGGAGAAGGCUAUGUUGGCCGGGCGACGGUUGUCCCGGUUUAAGCGUGUAGGCUGGUUUUCCAGGCAAAUCCGGAAAAUCAAGGCUGAGGCGUGAUGACGAGGCACUACGGUGCUGAAGCAACAAAUGCCCUGCUUCCAGGAAAAGCCUCUAAGCAUCAGGUAACAUCAAAUCGUACCCCAAACCGACACAGGUGGUCAGGUAGAGAAUACCAAGGCGCUUGAGAGAACUCGGGUGAAGGAACUAGGCAAAAUGGUGCCGUAACUUCGGGAGAAGGCACGCUGAUAUGUAGGUGAAGCGACUUGCUCGUGGAGCUGAAAUCAGUCGAAGAUACCAGCUGGCUGCAACUGUUUAUUAAAAACACAGCACUGUGCAAACACGAAAGUGGACGUAUACGGUGUGACGCCUGCCCGGUGCCGGAAGGUUAAUUGAUGGGGUUAGCGCAAGCGAAGCUCUUGAUCGAAGCCCCGGUAAACGGCGGCCGUAACUAUAACGGUCCUAAGGUAGCGAAAUUCCUUGUCGGGUAAGUUCCGACCUGCACGAAUGGCGUAAUGAUGGCCAGGCUGUCUCCACCCGAGACUCAGUGAAAUUGAACUCGCUGUGAAGAUGCAGUGUACCCGCGGCAAGACGGAAAGACCCCGUGAACCUUUACUAUAGCUUGACACUGAACAUUGAGCCUUGAUGUGUAGGAUAGGUGGGAGGCUUAGAAGUGUGGACGCCAGUCUGCAUGGAGCCGACCUUGAAAUACCACCCUUUAAUGUUUGAUGUUCUAACGUUGACCCGUAAUCCGGGUUGCGGACAGUGUCUGGUGGGUAGUUUGACUGGGGCGGUCUCCUCCUAAAGAGUAACGGAGGAGCACGAAGGUUGGCUAAUCCUGGUCGGACAUCAGGAGGUUAGUGCAAUGGCAUAAGCCAGCUUGACUGCGAGCGUGACGGCGCGAGCAGGUGCGAAAGCAGGUCAUAGUGAUCCGGUGGUUCUGAAUGGAAGGGCCAUCGCUCAACGGAUAAAAGGUACUCCGGGGAUAACAGGCUGAUACCGCCCAAGAGUUCAUAUCGACGGCGGUGUUUGGCACCUCGAUGUCGGCUCAUCACAUCCUGGGGCUGAAGUAGGUCCCAAGGGUAUGGCUGUUCGCCAUUUAAAGUGGUACGCGAGCUGGGUUUAGAACGUCGUGAGACAGUUCGGUCCCUAUCUGCCGUGGGCGCUGGAGAACUGAGGGGGGCUGCUCCUAGUACGAGAGGACCGGAGUGGACGCAUCACUGGUGUUCGGGUUGUCAUGCCAAUGGCACUGCCCGGUAGCUAAAUGCGGAAGAGAUAAGUGCUGAAAGCAUCUAAGCACGAAACUUGCCCCGAGAUGAGUUCUCCCUGACUCCUUGAGAGUCCUGAAGGAACGUUGAAGACGACGACGUUGAUAGGCCGGGUGUGUAAGCGCAGCGAUGCGUUGAGCUAACCGGUACUAAUGAACCGUGAGGCUUAACCUU